Molecule: RNase P RNA, 365 nt
Filed under: Dolosigranulum pigrum
Lineage: Bacteria; Bacillati; Bacillota; Bacilli; Lactobacillales; Carnobacteriaceae
Description: RNase P RNA component class B
Rfam family: Bacterial RNase P class B
About the family: Ribonuclease P (RNase P) is a ubiquitous endoribonuclease, found in archaea, bacteria and eukarya as well as chloroplasts and mitochondria. Its best characterised activity is the generation of mature 5'-ends of tRNAs by cleaving the 5'-leader elements of precursor-tRNAs.
Source: RNAcentral
CUUUACGGAUAAUUGCGCACUUGCUAGACAAGUGUGAGGAAAGUCCAUGCUUGCACAGGCUGCGAUGCCUGUAGUGUUCGUGCGUAGUGAAAUCAUAAGCUACGGCCCUGGAAUAGGUGACGGCAGAUAAACAGGCUAAGGUUCGCUAUGUCUAAGUAGUCUUGAAAAGUGCCACAGUGACGAAGCGCCUAGAGAAAUCUUGGCGGUGGAACGGGUAAACCCCUCGAGCAAGCAACUCAAACAUAAUGGUAGAGGCACUUCCAAAGCAGAAAUGAAUGAUGCGGAAGAUAGGUAACACUAUAGACAGAUGAUUAUCUCGAAGAAACGAGCCUAGCGUUUCUUUAGACAGAACAUGGCUUAUAGUG